GACGAACGCUGGCGGCGUGCUUAACACAUGCAAGUCGAACGGAAAGGCCCUGCUUUUGUGGGGUGCUCGAGUGGCGAACGGGUGAGUAACACGUGAGUAACCUGCCCUUGACUUUGGGAUAACUUCAGGAAACUGGGGCUAAUACCGGAUAGGAGCUCCUGCUGCAUGGUGGGGGUUGGAAAGUUUCGGCGGUUGGGGAUGGACUCGCGGCUUAUCAGCUUGUUGGUGGGGUAGUGGCUUACCAAGGCUUUGACGGGUAGCCGGCCUGAGAGGGUGACCGGCCACAUUGGGACUGAGAUACGGCCCAGACUCCUACGGGAGGCAGCAGUGGGGAAUAUUGCACAAUGGGCGGAAGCCUGAUGCAGCAACGCCGCGUGCGGGAGGACGGCCUUCGGGUUGUAAACCGCUUUCGCCUGGGACGAAGCGUGAGUGACGGUAAUGGGUAAAGAAGCACCGGCUAACUACGUG
Molecule: ribosomal RNA, 468 nt
Filed under: uncultured bacterium
Lineage: Bacteria
Description: partial 16S ribosomal RNA
Rfam family: Bacterial small subunit ribosomal RNA
Source: RNAcentral